GACGAACGCUGGCGGCGUGCUUAACACAUGCAAGUCGAACGGAAAGGCCCUGCUUUUGUGGGGUGCUCGAGUGGCGAACGGGUGAGUAACACGUGAGUAACCUGCCCUUGACUUUGGGAUAACUUCAGGAAACUGGGGCUAAUACCGGAUAGGAGCUCCUGCUGCAUGGUGGGGGUUGGAAAGUUUCGGCGGUUGGGGGUGGACUCGCGGCUUAUCAGCUUGUUGGUGGGGUAGUGGCUUACCAAGGCUUUGACGGGUAGCCGGCCUGAGAGGGUGACCGGCCACAUUGGGACUGAGAUACGGCCCAGACUCCUACGGGAGGCAGCAGUGGGGAAUAUUGCACAAUGGGCGGAAGCCUGAUGCAGUAACGCCGCGUGCGGGAUGACGGCCUUCGGGUUGUAAACCGCUUUCGCCUGUGACGAAGCGUGAGUGACGGUAAUGGGUAAAGAAGCACCGGCUAACUACGUG
This 468-nucleotide ribosomal RNA is filed under the name uncultured bacterium. Its description in RNAcentral is "partial 16S ribosomal RNA". It matches the Rfam family "Bacterial small subunit ribosomal RNA", at positions 28 to 507 of the family's 1533-position model. The record is from RNAcentral.